This 58-nucleotide transfer RNA is filed under the name Ailuropoda melanoleuca (giant panda). It matches the Rfam family "tRNA", at positions 8 to 63 of the family's 71-position model. From Rfam's summary of the family: Transfer RNA (tRNA) molecules are approximately 80 nucleotides in length. Their secondary structure includes four short double-helical elements and three loops (D, anti-codon, and T loops). Lineage: Eukaryota; Metazoa; Chordata; Mammalia; Carnivora; Ursidae. The record is from Rfam by way of RNAcentral.
UGGCUCAGUGCGUGGAGCGUGAGACUCUUAAUCUCGGGGUUCUGGGUUCAAGUCCCAC